Molecule: ribosomal RNA, 680 nt
Filed under: Burkholderia sp. 134
Lineage: Bacteria; Pseudomonadati; Pseudomonadota; Betaproteobacteria; Burkholderiales; Burkholderiaceae
Description: bacterial SSU rRNA
Rfam family: Bacterial small subunit ribosomal RNA
Source: RNAcentral
GUCGAACGGCAGCACGGGGGCAACCCUGGUGGCGAGUGGCGAACGGGCGAGUAAUACAUCGGAACGUGUCCUGUAGUGGGGGAUAGCCCGGCGAAAGCCGGAUUAAUACCGCAUACGAUCUACGGAAGAAAGCGGGGGAUCUUCGGACCUCGCGCUGCAGGGGCGGCCGAUGGCAGAUUAGCUAGUUGGUGGGGUAAAGGCCUACCAAGGCGACGAUCUGUAGCUGGUCUGAGAGGACGACCAGCCACACUGGGACUGAGACACGGCCCAGACUCCUACGGGAGGCAGCAGUGGGGAAUUUUGGACAAUGGGGGCAACCCUGAUCCAGCAAUGCCGCGUGUGUGAAGAAGGCCUUCGGGUUGUAAAGCACUUUUGUCCGGAAAGAAAACCAUCGCCCUAAUAUGGUGGUGGGAUGACGGUACCGGAAGAAUAAGCACCGGCUAACUACGUGCCAGCAGCCGCGGUAAUACGUAGGGUGCGAGCGUUAAUCGGAAUUACUGGGCGUAAAGCGUGCGCAGGCGGUCUGUUAAGACCGAUGUGAAAUCCCCGGGCUUAACCUGGGAACUGCAUUGGUGACUGGCAGGCUUUGAGUGUGGCAGAGGGAGGUAGAAUUCCACGUGUAGCAGUGAAAUGCGUAGAGAUGUGGAGGAAUACCGAUGGCGAAGGCAGCCUCCUGGGCC